GAGCAGUUGAUGCCAGAUCAUCAUCUUCCACACUAACUAACCAUCAUGUCCCUGUCAGCUCUGCUGCUGUUGCUGGCUGCUACUUCCAGUGUCCAUUCAGAGACGCUCACUCAGCCAGCUUCAGUGACUCUCCAGCCAGGACAAACACUGACCAUCAGCUGUCAAGUCUCCUAUUCAGUUACUAGCUAUCACACAGCUUGGGUUCGACAGCCAUCAGAGAAAGGCCUGGAGUGGAUCAAUGUUAUCUGGGGUGGUGGUAGCACAGCACACAAAGACUCACUGAAGAGCAAGUUCAGUGUCUCCAGAGACACCUCCAGUAACACCAUCACCCUGCAAGGACAAAACAUGCAGCCUGAAGACACAGCUGUCUAUUACUGCGCUCGCUACUCACAGUGA
This is a non-coding RNA of Engraulis encrasicolus (European anchovy), 396 nucleotides long. Lineage: Eukaryota; Metazoa; Chordata; Actinopteri; Clupeiformes; Engraulidae. The record is from the annotation of a RefSeq genome assembly.